RNAcentral lists this ribosomal RNA (1459 nucleotides) under uncultured Bordetella sp. RNAcentral's name for it is "partial 16S-23S ribosomal RNA intergenic spacer". It matches the Rfam family "Bacterial small subunit ribosomal RNA". Lineage: Bacteria; Pseudomonadati; Pseudomonadota; Betaproteobacteria; Burkholderiales; Alcaligenaceae. The record is from RNAcentral.
GUUCAGGUCGGCUCAGAUUGAACGCUGGCGGAUGCCUUACAUGCAAACGGCGGCGGACGCGCAAUUCUAAGUGGCAUUGGCGAACGGGUGAGUAAUGUAUCGGAACGUGCCCAGUAGCGGGGGAUAAUACGCGAAAGCGUAGCUAAUACCACCAUGCGCCCUGCAAGGAAAAACGAGAUCGCAGGCCUUGCACUAUUGGAGCGUAUCCGGAUUAGCUGGUUGGUGAAAUGCGCCACAAUACCGGCGGCGAUCAUGUAGCUGGUUUGAAAGGACGACCAGCCACACUGGGACUGAGACACGGCCCAGACUCCUACGGGAGGCAGCAGUGGGAAUUUUGGACAAUGGGGGAAACCCUGAUCCAGCCACUCCGCUGUGUGCGAUGAAGGCCUUCGGGUUGUAAAGCACUUUUAUGGCAGGAAAGAAACGUCGUGGGUUAAUACCCCGCGAAGCGGCAGGCUCACACCGAAUGGCACCACGACUAUACAAAUUUACCAAUAGCCGCGGUAAUACGUAGAGGUGCAAGCGUUAAUCAGAUUCUCAGACAUCGCUGUGCACGCAGGCGGUUCGGAAGAAGAUAUGUGAAAUCCCAGAGCUUAACGCACUGCGAGAUUUUAUUUGCUACUAUUUCAGAGUGUGUGUCAGAGGGAAUUCCCGCAUGCUGUGGUAAAAUGUAAUAGAUAUGCGGAGGAACACCGAUGGCGAAAAACGGCCUCUGGGAUAACACUGACGCUCAUGCAGAAAGCGUGAGGCAAACAGGAUUAGAUACCCUGGUAGUCCACGCCUAAACGAUGUCAACUAGCUGUUGGGGCCUUCGGGCCUUGGUAAGCAUAGCUAACGCGUGAAAUUCGACCACUUCUAAGAUACGGUCGCAAGAUUAAAACUCAAGAUUGACUGAGGACCCGCACAAGCGGUGGAUGAUGUGGGUCAAUUCAAUUCGCGCGAAAAACCUUACCUACCCUUGACAUGUCUGGAAUGCGAGGAAUUUGGCGAAUAUCUCAUGAAGAACCAGGUUUGAGUGCUGCAUGGCUGUCGUCAGCUCUGUCGUGAGAUGUUGGGUUAAGUCCCGCAACGAAACUUCGCCUUGUCAUUAGUUGCUACGAAAGGGCAUCCGUAAGACCACACAGGUGACAUCGUCCAGAAGAAGAGUCGAGAUGGCAUCAAGUCUCAUGGCCACUGUGGGUAGGGCUUCACACGUCAUACAAUGGUCGGGACAGAGGGUCUCCUUCCGCAAGGGGAGCCAAUCCCAGCUUCCGAUCGUAGUCCGGAUCGCACACCCACGCAGUCUGCAGCUCGACUGCGUGAAGUCGGAAUCGCUAGUAAUCGCGGAUCAGCAUGCGGUGAAUACGUUCCCGGGUCUUUGCUUCGCCCGUCACACCAUGGAGUGGGUUUAAAGUGAUUAGCUAACCGCAGGCGUUCACUACGGUGAUUCGCCAGCUGGGCAGUCUCAUAACAAGAGUAG